AGUGAACGCUGGCGGUAGGCCUAACACAUGCAAGUCGAACGGCAGCACCGUACGAGCUUGCUCUUCUCGGUGGCGAGUCGCGGACGUGUGAGGUAUACAUCGUACUCUACUUUUUCGUGUGGGUUCACGUAGGUAAACUUACUCUCAUAUCGCAUAUGCCCUACGGUUGUAAGCAUUGGAUCUUCGGACCUUGCGCGAUUGAAUUAGCCGCUGUCGGAUUAGUUGGUUGGCGGGGUAAAGGCCCCCCAAGGCGACGAUCCGUAGCUGGUGUGAGAGGAUGGUAAGCCACACUGGAGCUGAGACACGGUCAAGACUACUGAGAGAGGCAGCAGUGGGGAAUAUUGGACAGUGGGCGCAAGCCUGGUCCAACCAGAGCGCGUGGGAGAAGAAGGCCUUCGGGUUGGAAAGACCUUUUGUUGGGAAAGAAAAGCAGCAGGUUAAGACGCAGCUGGUCUGACGGUAACGAAAGAAGAAGCACCGGCUAACUACGUG
Molecule: ribosomal RNA, 492 nt
Filed under: uncultured bacterium
Lineage: Bacteria
Description: partial 16S ribosomal RNA
Rfam family: Bacterial small subunit ribosomal RNA
Source: RNAcentral